GGCUCAGGAUGAACGCUGGCGGUAUGCCUUACACAUGCAAGUCGUACGAGAGUUUUUAACUCAAGUGGCGGAUGGGUGAGUAACACGUAAGAAUUUACCUUUGGGAGGGGGAUAACAACUAGAAAUGGUUGCUAAUACCCCAUAUGCUUUAAGACAGUAAAAUGGAUUUUCCGCCUAAAGAGAAGCUUGCGGCUGAUUAGCUUGUUGGUGAGGUAAUGGCUUACCAAGGCGACGAUCAGUAUCUGGUUUGAGAGGAUGAUCAGACACACUGGAACUGAGACACGGUCCAGACUCCUACGGGAGGCAGCAGUGGGGAAUUUUCCGCAAUGGGCGAAAGCCUGACGGAGCAAUACCGCGUGGGGGAUGACUGCCUAUGGGUUGUAAACCUCUUUUUUCAGGGAGGAAUUAAUGACGUGUACCUGAAGAAUAAGCAUCGGCUAACUCCGUGCCAGCAGCCGCGGUAAGACGGAGGAUGCAAGUGUUAUCCGGAAUCACUGGGCGUAAAGCGUCUGUAGGUGGUAAAACAAGUCAACUGUUAAAUCUGGAAGCUCAACUUCCAAAUAGCAGUCGAAACUAUUUAACUAGAGUAUAGUAGGGGUAAAGGGAAUUUCCAGUGGAGCGGUGAAAUGCGUAGAGAUUGGAAAGAACACCAAUGGCGAAGGCACUUUACUGGGCUAUUACUGACACUGAGAGACGAAAGCUAGGGUAGCAAAUGGGAUUAGAUACCCCAGUAGUCCUAGCCGUAAACGAUGGGUACUAGAUGUUGAACAGAUCGACCUGUGCAGUAUCAAAGCUAACGCGUUAAGUAUCCCGCCUGGGAAGUAUGCUCGCAAGAGUGAAACUC
Molecule: ribosomal RNA, 844 nt
Filed under: uncultured bacterium
Lineage: Bacteria
Description: bacterial SSU rRNA
Rfam family: Bacterial small subunit ribosomal RNA
Source: RNAcentral